This is a long non-coding RNA of Pocillopora damicornis (cauliflower coral), 831 nucleotides long. Lineage: Eukaryota; Metazoa; Cnidaria; Anthozoa; Scleractinia; Pocilloporidae. The record is from RefSeq and is a predicted model, not a curated record.
GGUGGCUGAUUGAAAGGAGUCAUAGCAUUUGUGAAUUUGUGCCUCUGAUGUAAAAGAUCUCUGCUCCUCUUGAUUCUUGGAUUCUUUGUGACAGCUUGUGAUUUAAAGGGACAUCAUCAUUCAGAGUGUAUUUAUUCAGUUAAGAAAUAACAUGUCAUCCACACUGAUUUUUUUUGUUUCUGUCAUGUGUAGUAAGUUACUUUAACAGCUGCAGUUAUUCAAAGAAUCGUGAAGAGGGAACAAGUUAGAGUUGAGGAGAACAUGCAGAUGCAUGCUGCAAAAUUUGGGUGAGCACUGUAUUAAAUGAUGGAAAGGAACAAAAUUCAAAUUGUGUGGAUAAAGGAAGAGAAGUUUGCAUAAUAGAUCCAGCCCUGCAGGUUACUAAGCCUGAGAUCAAGGAAAGUAUCAAGGAUAUCCUCCAUGGGUUGCUCAACAACAUGAGUCUUAAAAAACCAGUCAGAAUGAACAUCAGGCACAGGCACUUAUGGAAAGAUGUUAAACAGGCUCAACAAAAUUUGCUAUGAGGUGGCUAUGACCAUGUGAAAAUUGUAUUCAUUAGAGAACUGACAAUAGACAAUGAGAAGCAAGGAGAGAGUGCUUCACAGAAAUUCUGGAUUAUGUUAAAAGAGCUCUUUCCUCCAUGGGUAAAUCAACUGAUUCUAUGGUGGUAUUAAAUCAAAGGGAUUACUGCUUGGCUGCUGAGCUAAUGGUUGUGCCAGUUCUACAAAGUGGACCUUCACCAUCAUUUCUUCACUCAGCUGUUUUUCAAUAUUUAAGUCAUGGAAAUUUAUCAUCAGUUAUUCAUGAAAGCACUCUAAAAGGAACAGCAUU